ACAUAUAUAUAUAUAUAUAUAUAUAUAUAUAUAUAUAUAUGUAUAUGUAUUUAGUGAGAGGCGUGUAACCCAUGAUUGAAGUGAUAUUGUGGUUGAAUCCCUGAUAUCAUCCACCUUUCCCUCUGAAAGGGUUUUUAAUUGAGUAUUUAAUUGUCCAAACCAAUAGAGAAAAUUUAAGGGCAAUUCUUACAUAAAGGAAAAAGGGAGAACUUUCCCUUUUUUUUGUGUAAACCAUUCAGAGUUUCCCUGCAGAAAGCUUCAACCUGUAUUGACAUUUUGGUUCCCUUUUUUCCCUGAUCCUGGCUGCCCUUGAUUCCAGAGGAGAACAAUGGGAGGGGAGUGAGUGCUGAGGGUAUUUAAAGCACAAUCAUGGGAAAUGCUCCCAUCACCACAGAGCCCUUUUCCUUCCCCUGGCGAAUCCCCUGGCUGUGCUCCAGAGCCUCUUUCCCAGGGGAAUUGUUCACGGGGAGAACUCCUGAAUUGCAGGGACACCACUGGAAGGGCACAAGGACACCUCAUCCAAAGCCCAGGAUCCACUUUCCUGCUGCAUUCAGAAGGUGCUGCUGGGGGAAUUGCACUGAUUCUAACAGCUCCAAAGUUGCUGUGUUUCCUUUCCAAAGCAAGGAUGGGGCAGGAGUUUAGGAGAGUCUUGUUCAGGACCAUGUGGAGCCCAGGACCAGCUCAGACUCAGGUGGUAAAAGCACAGCACCAUUUUCCUGCCUUGAGGGAAGAAGGACUCUGAACAGACACGUAUCAAGUGAAAUGAAGUGAUUUGUGUCCAAGAGGAGUUUGCAGCUGAUUCACAUGAUACCUGCAUGUUUUGAGAGGUUGUUUUGACUUUCCUCCAUGGUUCCUUAUCAAAUUCAUGACACAGUAGCUGGGAAGUGAAUGUGUUGUUCAGCACCUCGGGUAAAACUCAGCCCUUUGCUUUCUACACCUUGAAAAGGUAAAUAAAUAAAUCCUUUGGCCUAAAUCA
Long non-coding RNA from Lonchura striata (white-rumped munia), 976 nucleotides. The record is from Ensembl. NCBI's taxonomy places the organism in Eukaryota, Metazoa, Chordata, Aves, Passeriformes, Estrildidae.